CCCAAAUAUUAAAGAAUUAGAAAGUCCCUAGUUGAUGUAUCCAGUAUGGAAAGCAUCAUAUCACCCUUUACUCAUUGUUUCCUGAUUACUAAAGAUAAGUGAGUAUAAAGUGACCACCAACCAGGUAUAUAAAGAUCAGUCUCUGAGAUUUAUUGUAAAGGACCAAGAGCUUAAAAACUAGACUUCACUAUUUGUUCCAUCAUGUUCAGAGUUACUAUUGCUUUGUUACUUGCCUGUUUUGCUGGAAACUAUUCUAUGCCUCUUGCAGAAAACACAUGUCACGGCAUGACCUGUCAUCAGCUGGUUUCAGAAAUUAGGGACCACGUGAAACAUAUUCAGCGCCCAAAAGGAACACAUGCAAAAAAUGUAACCGACUGCAAAUUAAUCAAUUGCAACCUGAAUAUUUUUAAAAAGGAGUUGAAUGAAAUAUAUCGAUGUGAG
Molecule: long non-coding RNA, 441 nt
Organism: Rana temporaria (common frog)
Lineage: Eukaryota; Metazoa; Chordata; Amphibia; Anura; Ranidae
Exons: 3
Source: RefSeq, a predicted model, not a curated record